UCAGUGUGUGUGUUAGUGGAAGCGUCUGGAAAGGCGCGCGAUACAGGGUGACAGCCCCGUACACAAAAAUGCACAUGCUGUGAGCUCGAUGAGUAGGGCGGGACACGUGGUAUCCUGUCUGAAUAUGGGGGGACCAUCCUCCAAGGCUAAAUACUCCUGACUGACCGAUAGUGAACCAGUACCGUGAGGGAAAGGCGAAAAGAACCCCGGCGAGGGGAGUGAAAAAGAACCUGAAACCGUGUACGUACAAGCAGUGGGAGCACGCUUAGGCGUGUGACUGCGUACCUUUUGUAUAAUGGGUCAGCGACUUAUAUUCUGUAGCAAGGUUAACCGAAUAGGGGAGCCGAAGGGAAACCGAGUCUUAACUGGGCGUUAAGUUGCAGGGUAUAGACCCGAAACCCGGUGAUCUAGCCAUGGGCAGGUUGAAGGUUGGGUAACACUAACUGGAGGACCGAACCGACUAAUGUUGAAAAAUUAGCGGAUGACUUGUGGCUGGGGGUGAAAGGCCAAUCAAACCGGGAGAUAGCUGGUUCUCCCCGAAAGCUAUUUAGGUAGCGCCUCGUGAAUUCAUCUCCGGGGGUAGAGCACUGUUUCGGCAAGGGGGUCAUCCCGACUUACCAACCCGAUGCAAACUGCGAAUACCGGAGAAUGUUAUCACGGGAGACACACGGCGGGUGCUAACGUCCGUCGUGAAGAGGGAAACAACCCAGACCGCCAGCUAAGGUCCCAAAGUCAUGGUUAAGUGGGAAACGAUGUGGGAAGGCCCAGACAGCCAGGAUGUUGGCUUAGAAGCAGCCAUCAUUUAAAGAAAGCGUAAUAGCUCACUGGUCGAGUCGGCCUGCGCGGAAGAUGUAACGGGGCUAAACCAUGCACCGAAGCUGCGGCAGCGACGCUUAUGCGUUGUUGGGUAGGGGAGCGUUCUGUAAGCCUGCGAAGGUGUGCUGUGAGGCAUGCUGGAGGUAUCAGAAGUGCGAAUGCUGACAUAAGUAACGAUAAAGCGGGUGAAAAGCCCGCUCGCCGGAAGACCAAGGGUUCCUGUCCAACGUUAAUCGGGGCAGGGUGAGUCGACCCCUAAGGCGAGGCCGAAAGGCGUAGUCGAUGGGAAACAGGUUAAUAUUCCUGUACUUGGUGUUACUGCGAAGGGGGGACGGAGAAGGCUAUGUUGGCCGGGCGACGGUUGUCCCGGUUUAAGCGUGUAGGCUGGUUUUCCAGGCAAAUCCGGAAAAUCAAGGCUGAGGCGUGAUGACGAGGUACUACGGUGCUGAAGCAACAAAUGCCCUGCUUCCAGGAAAA
RNAcentral lists this ribosomal RNA (1293 nucleotides) under Escherichia coli. RNAcentral's name for it is "partial 23S ribosomal RNA". It matches the Rfam family "Bacterial large subunit ribosomal RNA", at positions 317 to 1616 of the family's 2925-position model. Lineage: Bacteria; Pseudomonadati; Pseudomonadota; Gammaproteobacteria; Enterobacterales; Enterobacteriaceae. The record is from RNAcentral.